Molecule: long non-coding RNA, 714 nt
Organism: Chrysemys picta bellii (western painted turtle)
Lineage: Eukaryota; Metazoa; Chordata; Testudines; Emydidae
Source: RefSeq, a predicted model, not a curated record
UGCAGGAUAAGCAUAUUGCUCCCGUCAUUGCCAUGGCUACUGCCAGCUCCCCAGCACCCGACUGCCACAGCCAGGUGCCUAGAGGUCUCUUUGGAUACAUUGAGAAAGUGAAAAUAGAAGGCUACAUAACAGGAACAAGACAGGAGCAAAGAGACUCCAUUAAACUCAACUAGGGUCUUCAAGCCUUGAAAUGGCAAUCAGAAGCAGUCUUGGACCAGUGAACUUUCCAGGAAAGAUACCCACACCUGCUGCAGACCAUGUAUGCUGGGUGAAGCUGUGGAGUACCUUAAAGGGACUUUAAAAGCUCCUGCCAUGGGAAUUCCCUUCCCACAGGAAUUGAGCAAGACAUUCUCAGGCUGCCUUCUGAGGGACCCCUUGGCAAACCCCGAGGGAAUUGUUGGGCAAAAUCAGGUGACAGUCAAUUCCUGUCCAUGGACCUGGUCACCUGUGAUCCAUUCCUACUCUACUUGCGCUACAUUGAUGACAUCUUCAUCAUCUGGACCCCUGGGAAGGAGGACCUUGAGGAAUUCCACCAGGAUUUCAACACUUUCCACCCCACCAUCAACCUCAGCCUGAACCAGUCCACACAAGAGAUCCAUUUCCUAGACAUUACGGUACUAAUAAGCGAUGAUCACAUAAACACCACCCUAUACCGGAAACCUACUGACCGCUAUACUUACCUACAUGCCUCCAGCUUUCAUCCAGACCACAUCA